UAUUUAUUUAUUUUUUUUUUGCAGUUUUAUACCUUUAUUUGACAAUCAGCAAUUAGUUCUCAUCCACAUUAACAGUCUUCUGUAGAUUUUUGAAAGUGGUGACAGGUACAUAGGUAACCAACGUACAGAGCUUGUUUGGUGAAUCCUCAUCCUUGUUACGUUUUCUGGUCAACCACACAUGGAUACGGUAUGGAACAUUCCUUGUUCCUUUGGCCCAGACAGCUUUGUUGAGCCUGGUGUCGAUGCGCACAUCUGGGGUUCCCGUCUCCUUCAUAGCAAAUUUCCGGAUCUCUUUGAGUGCCCGAGGGGCAUGCUUCUUCAAACCCACUCCAUGGAUGCGCUUGUGAAUGUUGACGGUGUAGUCUCUGGUUACUACCUCGUUGAUGGCAGAACGGCCCUUCUUCUUCUCUCCAUCCUUCUUUGCGGGAGCCACCCUGCCAGGCCCGGGUUGGAAA
This is a long non-coding RNA of Leopardus geoffroyi (Geoffroy's cat), 455 nucleotides long. RefSeq lists it as uncharacterized. The record is from RefSeq and is a predicted model, not a curated record. NCBI's taxonomy places the organism in Eukaryota, Metazoa, Chordata, Mammalia, Carnivora, Felidae. The transcript is spliced from 2 exons.